UAUGUGGACUUUGCUUCUCACGUCACCUGUUUUCAUUGAUCUGAGUUUAUUCACUCUCUGCAUCAUCGGAAUCAAGAAGGUUACAAAGGCGAUCUUCAAAAAGUUAGUGCUGCAUUAUGGAUAGCAAACUAGAGAGUGCUCAGAGGGAGGCUGAGGAGGUGAAAGUCAUUAUGCUGGAAAAUGUAAACAACGCAGAAGAACGAGAAGGAAAUGUCAAGGAUCAGAGAGCUGAACAACUUCAGUCCACCAGUAAAACUGCAGCAAAGCUAAAAAGUUCAACAAAGCUGAAAGUGAACCAGAAGAUGGAGUACAUGCGGGCUAAUAAAGGACUUGUAAGCAUCCUAGUGGUCUCAGCUGCUAUUAUACUUGCUGUGGUGAUUGCCAUGCUUGCCACCAAAGACACAUAUGAGCACAGGCACUCAGUAGUAGAAAGUACCUUAGAAGAGCCAUAGCAUUAACUAUAGACUGGAACAAGAAGAGGACAAAUCACCAUGAACACACCAGAAUUGUUUGUUCAGGGGAGUAUAACUGAUUUUAUUACCACUUGGAAUUGCAAUUCACUGUAGAGGGGUCUUUUCAUUUGUAGACAGUUACAGGGUGGGGGGCAACAAUAGUUUGUACACUAAAAAAUAUAUAUUUUAGCCUAUUUUUAAGAUGUAUGAAUUCAUAACAAAAUUCCAUCUUAUUCAAUAGUGUAAUUUUAAACCAAAUUAAAUAAAUAAUAAUAAUAAUAAUUAUUAUUAUUAUUAUUAUUAUUAUUAUUAUUUUAAAGAUUAUUCAAAUUCAGUUUGAUUGAAGUUUGUCACGAAAUUUAAAUUCUUAAAUCUUUAAAAAAAAAAAAAUUGAGUGUAAUGUUUUAGGAUAUACAUAUUAUCUGAGCUGAGAUGAGAGUAAAAUCAAUUGUUAUAAAUAAUUUUAUGUAACUUUUUUAUAAUAUUUAGAAUUAAUUUCAUGGAAUCUGUUUAAACAUACUUAAAAAUUGUACACAAUCAUGCACAUUCAUGUUUAACUCAAAUUAUUGAGCAAAACUGUCAUGUAAAAUCCAAAACGUAUUUCAGUUUUAAUAACAUAUAGUAUAUAUGCCGGCGAAAAGGCAUAAAUGUUGACUAUUGAUUGUUUUAAAUAAUCUCAACUUUUUCUACAUUACAUAGUUCAAUCAACUUUUAAAAUUGAGUUUAUCUGACGAAAAUGAAGUUUGAUUUUUAACAGUGUGAACAUGACUAUACAGAAAAGGCUAUACAACUAAAGACUUGGUCCCCAUGAUAAUAGUGCUGAUAGUUUGGUAUGUAAACACAAGAAGAUUAAAAGCAAGGGCACUUUCUAAAGUCCAGUGCACAACAUCCCCUCUUUUUGUGCACUGUGCUGACAUCAGUGUUACAUGUGCUUACAAAUUAGAUUAAUAUAAAAGUUUAUUAUAAUAAACAUUAUUAUUUAAAAAUAUGAAUUUGUGAUAAUAAAAAUUCAUAUUUUGUCACUAUUUUUGACUUGGAAACCAAUUUAAGUUGUCAAAAAUGUUUUAUGAACUCAUACCACAAGGGCUGGUUGAAUCUCAUGUUUGGUUAUGCGGUAUGUAAAUUGGGAAGAAAGUUAAAGUCAUCAGUUGUGGUUCAUACCUUGAAAUCUAACUAAGCAUCUAUCCCUAAUCACUGUUUUCUCAGUCAAUUGCAAUGACGCAAUCAAUACAUUUUCAUUAAGAAUAUACUGGUCACACCUAACCUUAACUGAAUUGCAGUGUGUAUGAAAAGCUCCUUGCCAUGGCACUGGCAAAAAAUCUUUCAGGAGAACAUUUGUUGUAGUCAGUUGUAAUGAUUUCUUUACUCCCCUAAUGGCCAAAUCAGCACUGAUUGUUUUAUAGAUUUGUGUCUUUUUCUUGAAUUGCACUAUUUAUUGUAGAUAUGAAAGCUAAUUUUAACAUUUAACAGUAACCUUUAUCAUGUUCUAUUGGCAUAUUAUGUACUGUAAAUAAACUUUGAUGUCGGUAAAAACACAAAAUAAUGCAUCAGCGUGUCUACACAGAACUUGCCCUUCUCUGAAGUGACAUUUUUUAAAGUCAGUCAACAGAAACAUUCAACUGUAUUGUCUUUAUGAGAAAGCAAAAAGGUAAUAGAGAAGAAUAAAAACAUGGUGACUUCACAUGAGAAACUGAAGACCAAGAAAAGACUCAUGGGCGUUGUAGUGGUGUGUGACAAGGAGGGGGCGUGGCCAGGCCUUGAUGAUGCAAGCCUGGCGCUGAGUUGAAUAAUCAGCGGGAGAGAGAUAAGGAUGGCCAGAGAUGUCAGAUCGAGAGAGAGAUGCACGAAGCUGUGUGUGCCUUUGUUUGAUUUGCAUUUUAUGAUAUGUUUGAGUUCAGUUUGUUAUUAAAGUUUUACGUUGACUGUUCAGCUGAUUCCUGCCUCCUCCUUGCCCAUCUUAAGAACCUUGUUACAUUGAUGCCGAAACCCGGGAAGGAGGAGGGAUGCACUGUCGUGGAGUCCUCGCCGCUGCCGUCCACCAGGGGAUGGAGGAGUCGCUGCUGUCCGCCAGGAGCCGGAGGAACAGCUGCUGUCCGCAGGAGCCAGAGGAACAGCUGCCAUCCGCCAGGAGCCUGAGGAACCGCUGUCGUCCACCAGGGGACAGAGGAGUCGCUGCCGUCCGCUAGGAGCCAGAGGAACCGCUGCCAUCCACCAGGGGACGGAGGAAUGUGGCAAAUCAGGUUCUCAAUGUGGAAAGGAGGAAGCGGGGACCGGGUGAACAAUCCACGUCAGACAUUUAAUAAACACUUUUCAGUAUAUAACAAAACAAAAACACGCACUGCUUUUCAGACAGCUAUAGCUGUAUACAUAUAAACAAAGACACACACACACAUAGACAGGCUUUGUGCAUCUCUCUCUCUCUCGAACUGCAGCUCCAGCUCCACCUUAUCCCUCUCCCGGCUGAUUGUGAUCAUUCUCCCCCAACCGUCCCUCAUCGCUCGGCCACAUACAAACUGUUCCUUCCAUGUCUUCACGUGUCAAUUUUGACCCUUAUGGGUGAACCAGUUGUGACCUUUCAACUUCUGACUUUCUUAAUGUUAUACAGCUUUAAAUUGUUUUUGUACAUUUAUAAAUCAAAUUUGUCCUGAAAUAUUUUACAUUUUCUCAAAUUUUGCCCUAUACUGUUCUCUAGUUGUGCCACCUGCCUCACUGGGUACUACAUCUUUCACACAAAUUACAAAUCCCAAAGUGGGGCAGUGGUGGCUCAGUGGUUAAGGCUCUGGGUUACUGAUUAGAAGAUUGGGGGUUCAAGCCCCAGCAUUGCUAAGAUGCCACUGUUGGGCCCUUGACCCUGCCUGCUCCAGGGGUGCUGUAUCAUAGCUGACUCUGCACUCUGAACCCAGCUUAGCUGGGAUAUGUUGGGGAAAAAAAGAAUUUCACUGUAUAUGUGCAAAUGUAUAUGUGUGAUAAAUAAUUAUUAAUUAUACUUUUCUCUCAAAUGGGGUUUGUGCACACAUGCACAUGUCCAAAAACACAUACAGACAGAGUUUUUAUAGGUUUUAACAGAUAUGUUAGUAAAUAAGUUCAAUAAGAGUAACACUUUACAAUAAGGUUCCAUUCGUUAACAUUAGUUAAUGAAUGAGGUAUCAUGAACAAUCAAUUAACAAUAUAUAU
Molecule: long non-coding RNA, 3626 nt
Organism: Myxocyprinus asiaticus (Chinese sucker)
Lineage: Eukaryota; Metazoa; Chordata; Actinopteri; Cypriniformes; Catostomidae
Exons: 3
Source: RefSeq, a predicted model, not a curated record